RNAcentral lists this unclassified non-coding RNA (210 nucleotides) under Hevea brasiliensis (rubber tree). The record is from RNAcentral. Lineage: Eukaryota; Viridiplantae; Streptophyta; Magnoliopsida; Malpighiales; Euphorbiaceae.
GAAAAGAAUGACAUCUCAAACCCAAAUCACAGAUUCUUUAUCUUUUCCCAAACUUUGUGUCGUUUUCCCUGUGAAUGUUGGAAGACAGAGAGAGAAUGGACAUGUAUGAAAAGUGAAAGAAAGAAAAGAAGAAAUCAUGGUCAACCCAAAAAGGUAAAGCAGAUAUUAGUCAGAGGCACAUUCUGAUCUUGUUUGUUAGCAUAUUUGACA